CAGCCGCCGCGGUAAUACAGAGGGUGCGAGCGUUAAUCGGAUUUACUGGGCGUAAAGCGUGCGUAGGCGGCUUUUUAAGUCGGAUGUGAAAUCCCUGAGCUUAACUUAGGAAUUGCAUUCGAUACUGGGAAGCUAGAGUAUGGGAGAGGAUGGUAGAAUUCCAGGUGUAGCGGUGAAAUGCGUAUAGAUCUGGAGGAAUACCGAUGGCGAAGGCAGCCAUCUGGCCUAAUACUGACGCUGAGGUACGAAAGCAUGGGGAGCAAACAGGAUUAGAUACCCGAGUAGUCCCUGUCUCUUAUAC
This 301-nucleotide ribosomal RNA is filed under the name uncultured bacterium. RNAcentral describes it as "partial 16S ribosomal RNA". It matches the Rfam family "Bacterial small subunit ribosomal RNA", at positions 509 to 807 of the family's 1533-position model. The record is from RNAcentral.